GUCUCGGUGGCCGAGAGGCAAGGUACCCGGCUGCAACCCGGAGCACGGCGGUUCGAGUCCGCCCCGAGACUCCA
This 74-nucleotide transfer RNA is filed under the name Archaeoglobales archaeon. RNAcentral describes it as "tRNA-OTHER". It matches the Rfam family "tRNA". Rfam says of the family: Transfer RNA (tRNA) molecules are approximately 80 nucleotides in length. Lineage: Archaea; Methanobacteriati; Methanobacteriota; Archaeoglobi; Archaeoglobales. The record is from RNAcentral. RNAcentral also lists the same sequence under 1 other name.